This 1755-nucleotide long non-coding RNA is filed under the name Heterocephalus glaber (naked mole-rat). RNAcentral describes it as "lncRNA (ENSHGLG00100035749.1)". Lineage: Eukaryota; Metazoa; Chordata; Mammalia; Rodentia; Bathyergidae. The record is from RNAcentral.
AACAAAGACCUGGGGAGGAUUUUAAGCACGUUGAAGUGGUUUUAUGCGAUCAGGAAGGAGUUAGGAAAGAAGAGAUGAAGCCAGAGGGGUGGAAGAGAAGCAAGGGCAGGUGAUGCAGAGGCUUGCUUGGGGUGGAUCCCUCUGGCUGGUGAUUUAAAAACGGUAAAGAAACCAAGGAGACAGAAGGCAGCUUGCUGAGUGUCACAGCCAGUGCCAGGAAUUGCACUCUGCUUCCUCCAGCACCAAAGCUUGCACUCUUGGCUCCUCCUUACUCACCGCCCUGAGAAGGAAGAGCAGUGCAGGAAUUCCCCAUCUCCCCUUGCCAAAUGCUUCUCAUUUUAGAAGAAAGCAACACAUGACGUCAUCUCAACAAGUGAAGGUAAAGUCCAGGAAAGCAAAGCUGGAUUCCAGCACUGACUAGGGACUCCGGGGCUGCUCAGCACCAUGGCAGAACAAUACUGGGAGGAAGGUCACAUAAAAGUGAUGGAGGCAGAUGGAAAAGAAGCUGCCUUCAUCACCCAUGGUGGUAAGACCUAAGUGUGAAAAAUCAAGUACUAGCAAUCAAAGUACAUUAGUUACACACCCGGAGGAAAAUACCAAAAGUAUUGGUCGAAAGAGCUGAGGAGGAAUUGAAGGAAACGGAAGAAGGCAAGAGGACUACUCUUUCUUACAUCAAAUCUUCUAAAGCUAUUUGACUCUUUAUAAAGAGUGUAAAUGUGUAUGUAGCUUUCGUUAAAAAAAAAAAUUAAAAAACAACCAACUGAAUACUUAUUUGAGAACUAUUCCAGCAUGAGGUUAUGUGUUCUAUGGGUGACAACAACAAAAAUAGUUUUCAAUGUAACAGUUAAGUAAAAUAUGAAAAAAUUCUCAGAAAUUGGCAAAUAAUUCCAAGUAAAAUUUGAUAAUGAGAUAAAUAAAAAGAUAAUUAGAAAAUGGAGUGACAAAAGGACAGUAAAUUUCUUUAAAAAUCUGUGUUUUAAAGUAGUUUAAAAAAAAAGUACACCUUCCUCAUUUCCUCCCAGACACGCCUUUCCCAGAUUUAUCUAGUCUCAUCCUCCUUGCAUUUCUGAGUAGUGGGCAGAGCAGUUUUUAUCAUCCCCACGUCACAGAGGGGAAAAUAAGGUCCAAACCCAAUGGGUAGCAUAGCAGGGGCACCAUGUCAUUGCGCAUACAGGAAGAAUUAUGGUGAGUGCUUCACAAAUGUGUCUGAGGAGCAAAACUGUAAAAAAGAUUGUUAUGACAGUGUUUAUUUAUCAGCAUCAUUACAUGGUGAUGACAUGGGUACAAAAAGGGACACUCAAAUUAUCACAACUGGCACCACCCUGAGGUAGAAUGGAAGAAAUAAAGACAGGUAGAAAAUGAAAAUCAGCAUAGAGGUAACAUCUCCUGGACAUGUCAUUUUCUUAUGCACACAAGAAUUACUCCUGGGGUUCAGGGUAGUAUGAUGAUUGUGAUAUUUAUAGACAUUUUUCUUAGAGGAUACUGGUUCUUUUGUAUUUCUUAGAGGUUCCUUUUUCUUUUUAGAUGGUCAGUAUUCUUUCAGGGGUCUUGGUCAUGUAAGAAACUUGAAGUUUACAAAAGGAAAAGUUCUAAUCUAAAUUGGGACUCAGCUCAAAGUGGGAGAGCCUUUAAAGAAUAUUUCUUUUCCUGAUAUCAUUGGACGAUAGGCUAUGAUGACCAGCAAUACUGUAUGCUUUUUUAUAGAAAUAGAGGCCCUGUGUCUUUGGAUCUGAGACCUAAUAAAUGAUUAUAAGU